This 255-nucleotide ribosomal RNA is filed under the name uncultured bacterium. RNAcentral's name for it is "partial 16S ribosomal RNA". The record is from RNAcentral.
CUGCUGCCUCCCGUAGGAGUUUGGGCCGUGUCUCAGUCCCAAUGUGGCCGGCCACCCUCUCAGGUCGGCUACUGAUCGUCGCCUUGGUGGGCCGUUACCUCACCAACCAGCUAAUCAGACGCGGAUCCAUCCCAUACCACCGGAGUUUUUCACACCGGACCAUGCGGUCCUGUGCGCUUAUGCGGUAUUAGCAGUCAUUUCUAACUGUUAUCCCCCUGUAUGAGGCAGGUUAUCCACGCGUUACUCACCCGUCCG